Molecule: ribosomal RNA, 1332 nt
Filed under: Escherichia coli
Lineage: Bacteria; Pseudomonadati; Pseudomonadota; Gammaproteobacteria; Enterobacterales; Enterobacteriaceae
Also listed under: 1 other name
Description: partial 23S ribosomal RNA
Rfam family: Bacterial large subunit ribosomal RNA
Source: RNAcentral
CGGGACACGUGGUAUCCUGUCUGAAUAUGGGGGGACCAUCCUCCAAGGCUAAAUACUCCUGACUGACCGAUAGUGAACCAGUACCGUGAGGGAAAGGCGAAAAGAACCCCGGCGAGGGGAGUGAAAAAGAACCUGAAACCGUGUACGUACAAGCAGUGGGAGCACGCUUAGGCGUGUGACUGCGUACCUUUUGUAUAAUGGGUCAGCGACUUAUAUUCUGUAGCAAGGUUAACCGAAUAGGGGAGCCGAAGGGAAACCGAGUCUUAACUGGGCGUUAAGUUGCAGGGUAUAGACCCGAAACCCGGUGAUCUAGCCAUGGGCAGGUUGAAGGUUGGGUAACACUAACUGGAGGACCGAACCGACUAAUGUUGAAAAAUUAGCGGAUGACUUGUGGCUGGGGGUGAAAGGCCAAUCAAACCGGGAGAUAGCUGGUUCUCCCCGAAAGCUAUUUAGGUAGCGCCUCGUGAAUUCAUCUCCGGGGGUAGAGCACUGUUUCGGCAAGGGGGUCAUCCCGACUUACCAACCCGAUGCAAACUGCGAAUACCGGAGAAUGUUAUCACGGGAGACACACGGCGGGUGCUAACGUCCGUCGUGAAGAGGGAAACAACCCAGACCGCCAGCUAAGGUCCCAAAGUCAUGGUUAAGUGGGAAACGAUGUGGGAAGGCCCAGACAGCCAGGAUGUUGGCUUAGAAGCAGCCAUCAUUUAAAGAAAGCGUAAUAGCUCACUGGUCGAGUCGGCCUGCGCGGAAGAUGUAACGGGGCUAAACCAUGCACCGAAGCUGCGGCAGCGACGCUGAUGCGUUGUUGGGUAGGGGAGCGUUCUGUAAGCCUGUGAAGGUGUGCUGUGAGGCAUGCUGGAGGUAUCAGAAGUGCGAAUGCUGACAUAAGUAACGAUAAAGCGGGUGAAAAGCCCGCUCGCCGGAAGACCAAGGGUUCCUGUCCAACGUUAAUCGGGGCAGGGUGAGUCGACCCCUAAGGCGAGGCCGAAAGGCGUAGUCGAUGGGAAACAGGUUAAUAUUCCUGUACUUGGUGUUACUGCGAAGGGGGGACGGAGAAGGCUAUGUUGGCCGGGCGACGGUUGUCCCGGUUUAAGCGUGUAGGCUGGUUUUCCAGGCAAAUCCGGAAAAUCAAGGCUGAGGCGUGAUGACGAGGCACUACGGUGCUGAAGCAACAAAUGCCCUGCUUCCAGGAAAAGCCUCUAAGCAUCAGGUAACAUCAAAUCGUACCCCAAACCGACACAGGUGGUCAGGUAGAGAAUACCAAGGCGCUUGAGAGAACUCGGGUGAAGGAACUAGGCAAAAUGGUGCCGUAACUUCGGGAGAAGGCACGCU